UCUCAAUGAUGAAACCUUUGUCCAGUUCUGCUACUGAUUUGACUUGUUGAUAAAGUAUUGUCUGAGGA
Molecule: small nucleolar RNA, 68 nt
Filed under: Echinops telfairi (small Madagascar hedgehog)
Lineage: Eukaryota; Metazoa; Chordata; Mammalia; Afrosoricida; Tenrecidae
Source: RNAcentral